Molecule: long non-coding RNA, 931 nt
Organism: Doryrhamphus excisus (bluestripe pipefish)
Lineage: Eukaryota; Metazoa; Chordata; Actinopteri; Syngnathiformes; Syngnathidae
Source: RefSeq, a predicted model, not a curated record
UCCACACCUCGUUCCUCCGAUUGACGAGUUUAAAGGGGCUGUCGUAGCCCGCCGUGUAGUACGGCGUGUCCACAAACGGAACUCCGUCCCUCUGCAGGCUCUCCACAAGCUUAAGGAGCUCCUCCUGUUUGAGAUUCUCAUCGGAGAACCCCCCGUAGGUUCUGGUCCCAAAAGGUAAAAUCAUGAGAGGGUGUUGGAGGAGCUAUUGAGAUUUGGAGGUGAUUGUUCCUCACCUGAUAUACGCUGUGAACUCCUUCCUGUUCUCCACGAACACAUCCGGAUCGCUCGGUUCUGGAGGAUUGUCCUGAUGCUCCUCAGGGAUGUAGAAGGACACAGUGAAGUGGGACUCGCACGUGGGGCCAUCUCCGGGGUUCACGCGACACGUCACGGGGGCCGUCAUCUCCACUUUGACCUCUGAUAAAAAGCCAGACACAGCGGGAAAUGGCAUGAAGUUUAUGUCCGGAAGCGGAAGUCGUGGUCUAGGUACAGGUAUCGUUGGGAAGCUCGUGGCCAUAUUCCCAGUGGGUGCUGAUGGAUUAAACAACUCUGCGCACAAAGUUCCUGAAGGCCGUCACGUUUUCUGGCCGUGUGAUGUCGCCGUCGCCGUCCACGCCUCCUUCGCCUGGGACACGAGGAGGUCAAAGGUCAUAGCCGUAAGUCAUAGAAGUCGUGCCUGCAUUAUGGAGGGGGUUGGUACCAUAGUAGGGCUCAAACAACUCGCUGGGGGCGGCGAAGAAAUCCUCCAGUUUGAAGUCACAGGGUCCUCUCAACGUCAUGCCAAAGCCUUUGGCGUGCCAGCGUCUCUUCCACAGGAUGUACUCAGAAAAGCCGCCGGGCCCUGCGCACACGUCACCGAAGUACAAAAGCUUGUACUCGGAUUUAUUGAUCAGAGGCGUCUACAUGGGAGAGAGGGUGGAAAGUUUGUCUUGGU